This 699-nucleotide ribosomal RNA is filed under the name uncultured Bacteroidota bacterium. RNAcentral's name for it is "bacterial SSU rRNA". It matches the Rfam family "Bacterial small subunit ribosomal RNA", at positions 93 to 790 of the family's 1533-position model. The record is from RNAcentral. Lineage: Bacteria; Pseudomonadati; Bacteroidota.
GAGUGGCGCACGGGUGCGUAACGCGUAUGCAACCUACCUUUUACUAGAGUAUAGCCCAGAGAAAUUUGGAUUAAUCCUCUAUAAUAUCUUUUAAUUCCAUGAUUUUAAGAUUAAAGUUUUAACGGUAAAAGAUGGGCAUGCGUCCCAUUAGUUUGUAGGUGAGGUAACGGCUCACCUAGACUACGAUAGGUAGGGGCCCUGAGAGGGGGAUCCCCCACACUGGUACUGAGACACGGACCAGACUCCUACGGGAGGCAGCAGUAAGGAAUAUUGGACAAUGGACGAAAGUCUGAUCCAGCCAUGCCGCGUGCAGGAUGACAGCCCUACGGGUUGUAAACUGCUUUUAUACAGGAAGAAACACUCCGACGUGUCGGAGCUUGACGGUACUGUAAGAAUAAGGAUCGGCUAACUCCGUGCCAGCAGCCGCGGUAAUACGGAGGAUCCAAGCGUUAUCCGGAAUCAUUGGGUUUAAAGGGUCCGCAGGCUGUUUUUUAAGUCAGAGGUGAAAUCCUGCAGCUCAACUGUAGAACUGCCUUUGAUACUGGAAAACUUGAGUUAUUGUGAAGUGGUUAGAAUGUGUGGUGUAGCGGUGAAAUGCAUAGAUAUCACACAGAAUACCGAUUGCGAAGGCAGAUCACUAACAAUAUACUGACGCUCAUGGACGAAAGCGUGGGGAGCGAACAGGAUUAGAUACCCUGG